Molecule: ribosomal RNA, 1001 nt
Filed under: Vibrio sp.
Lineage: Bacteria; Pseudomonadati; Pseudomonadota; Gammaproteobacteria; Vibrionales; Vibrionaceae
Description: bacterial SSU rRNA
Rfam family: Bacterial small subunit ribosomal RNA
Source: RNAcentral
GGGGUGGCGGCAGCUACACAUGCAAGUCGAGCGGAACGAGUUAUCUGAACCUUCGGGGAACGAUAACGGCGUCGAGCGGCGGACGGGUGAGUAAUGCCUAGGAAAUUGCCUUGAUGUGGGGGAUAACCAUUGGAAACGAUGGCUAAUACCGCAUAAUGCCUACGGGCCAAAGAGGGGGACCUUCGGGCCUCUCGCGUCAAGAUAUGCCUAGGUGGGAUUAGCUAGUUGGUGAGGUAAUGGCUCACCAAGGCGACGAUCCCUAGCUGGUCUGAGAGGAUGAUCAGCCACACUGGAACUGAGACACGGUCCAGACUCCUACGGGAGGCAGCAGUGGGGAAUAUUGCACAAUGGGCGCAAGCCUGAUGCAGCCAUGCCGCGUGUAUGAAGAAGGCCUUCGGGUUGUAAAGUACUUUCAGCAGUGAGGAAGGGGGUGUCGUUAAUAGCGGCAUCUCUUGACGUUAGCUGCAGAAGAAGCACCGGCUAACUCCGUGCCAGCAGCCGCGGUAAUACGGAGGGUGCGAGCGUUAAUCGGAAUUACUGGGCGUAAAGCGCAUGCAGGUGGUUUGUUAAGUCAGAUGUGAAAGCCCGGGGCUCAACCUCGGAACUGCAUUUGAAACUGGCAAACUAGAGUACUGUAGAGGGGGGUAGAAUUUCAGGUGUAGCGGUGAAAUGCGUAGAGAUCUGAAGGAAUACCAGUGGCGAAGGCGGCCCCCUGGACAGAUACUGACACUCAGAUGCGAAAGCGUGGGGAGCAAACAGGAUUAGAUACCCUGGUAGUCCACGCCGUAAACGAUGUCUACUUGGAGGUUGUGGCCUUGAGCCGUGGCUUUCGGAGCUAACGCGUUAAGUAGACCGCCUGGGGAGUACGGUCGCAAGAUUAAAACUCAAAUGAAUUGACGGGGGCCCGCACAAGCGGUGGAGCAUGUGGUUUAAUUCGAUGCAACGCGAAGAACCUUACCUACUCUUGACAUCCAGAGAACUUUUCAAAGAUGGAUUGGUGC